CCCCCAAGAAAUGGGCAAACAAACACCUUGUUGGUGGUGGUGCUCUUAUAUCAGUCAGGGCAGAGCAGAUGGCAGUCCUCCAUUCAUCCUAGCUUGGUAUCUGGCUUGGUGGCCAAUGCUAUCUUAUGCCUAGGACUAUAA
Mastomys coucha (southern multimammate mouse) is the source of this 141-nucleotide small nucleolar RNA. RefSeq annotates it as small nucleolar RNA SNORA48. The transcript has a single exon. The record is from RefSeq and is a predicted model, not a curated record. NCBI's taxonomy places the organism in Eukaryota, Metazoa, Chordata, Mammalia, Rodentia, Muridae.